AUUGCCCUAGUAACGGCGAGUGAAGCGGCAACAGCUCAAAUUUGAAAUCUGGCCUAGGCCCGAGUUGUAAUUUGCAGAGGAUGCUUCUGGCGAGGUACCUACCGAGUUCCCUGGAACGGGACGCCACAGAGGGUGAGAGCCCCGUAUGGUAGGACACCGAGCCUGUGUGAAGCUCCUUCAACGAGUCGAGUAGUUUGGGAAUGCUGCUCUAAAUGGGAGGUAAAUCUCUUCUAAAGCUAAAUACCGGCCAGAGACCGAUAGCGCACAAGUAGAGUGAUCGAAAGAUGAAAAGCACCUUGAAAAGGGGGUUAAAUAGUACGUGAAAUUGUUGAAAGGGAAGCACUUAUGACCAGACUUGGGCCGGGCGGCUCAUCAGGGGUUCUCCCCUGUGCACUCCGCCCGGCACAGGCCAGCAUCGGUUCUCGUGGGGGGAUAAGACCGUCAGGAACGUAGCACCCUCCGGGGUGUGUUAUAGCCUGGCGGACGAUACCCCCGUGGGGACCGAGGUCCGCGCUCCGCAAGGAUGCUGGCGUAAUGGUCAUCAGUGACCCGUCUUGAAACACGGACCAAGGAGUCGUCCAUUAGAGCGAGCGUUUGGGUGUAAAACCCGCACGCGUAAUGAAAGUGAACGCAGGUGAGAGCUUCGGCGCAUCAUCGACCGAUCCUGAUGUUCUCGGAAGGAUUUGAGUAAGAGUUUUAACGGACGGACCCGAAAGACAGUGAACUAUGCUUGUAUAGGGUGAAGCCAGAGGAAACUCUGGUGGAGGCUCGCAGCGGUUCUGACGUGCAAAUCGAUCGUCAAAUAUGAGCAUGGGGGCGAAAGACUAAUCGAAC
Molecule: ribosomal RNA, 834 nt
Filed under: Diaporthe oraccinii
Lineage: Eukaryota; Fungi; Ascomycota; Sordariomycetes; Diaporthales; Diaporthaceae
Description: eukaryotic LSU rRNA
Rfam family: Eukaryotic large subunit ribosomal RNA
Source: RNAcentral